Molecule: unclassified non-coding RNA, 240 nt
Filed under: soil metagenome
Description: partial contains 5.8S ribosomal RNA, internal transcribed spacer 2, and large subunit ribosomal RNA
Source: RNAcentral
AACCAUAGAAACCUGCGGAGUACCUGCGGAGGGAUCAUUAAAGAGUUUUAUUUACAAGUGCCAAGAGCCUGGUUGUGGGUGGUGUGCCCUUGGUUGUGGGGUGGGUGCUGCUAUAUGCCGGCUCUUGCACUUCAAACAAACAAUCGCAACUAUUGUGAAAAGUGGGGAUAAGAAUGGCUUGGCUUGAAACAAGUAAAAGUGUUUGCCUGAUAAUCUAAUUGGAUUGGAUUGAGUUGGAAA